ACUUUUAUAGCUUAAUGGUAAAGCUGUAAUAUUAUAAAUGAUAGAUGUUCGAAUCAUCUUAAAGGUU
This is a transfer RNA of Metarhizium album ARSEF 1941, 67 nucleotides long. It matches the Rfam family "tRNA". From Rfam's summary of the family: Transfer RNA (tRNA) molecules are approximately 80 nucleotides in length. Their secondary structure includes four short double-helical elements and three loops (D, anti-codon, and T loops). Lineage: Eukaryota; Fungi; Ascomycota; Sordariomycetes; Hypocreales; Clavicipitaceae. The record is from Rfam.